UACGGAGGGGGCUAGCGUUGUUCGGAAUUACUGGGCGUAAAGCGCGUGUAGGCGGCCGUACAGGUCCGGUGUGAAAACUCGAGGCUCAACCUCGAGAGGUCAUCGGAAACCGUACGGCUAGAGUCCGGAAGAGGAGAGUGGAAUUCCUGGUGUAGCGGUGAAAUGCGCAGAUAUCAGGAAGAACACCCAUGGCGAAGGCAGCUCUCUGGGACGGUACUGACGCUGAGACGCGAAAGCGUGGGGAGCGAACAGG
This 253-nucleotide ribosomal RNA is filed under the name uncultured bacterium. RNAcentral describes it as "partial 16S ribosomal RNA". It matches the Rfam family "Bacterial small subunit ribosomal RNA", at positions 524 to 776 of the family's 1533-position model. The record is from RNAcentral.